AACUAAAUAUACUUUUAUUUAAAUUUUUUGAAAAACUUCAGGAUAAACAACAUUUACAGUCGAUGUUUUGGUUAAUUCAUUACCAUCAGUAACCAUAACUUUCAAUCCANNNNNNNNNAAAACAAACACACAAUGGAAAUUGAAGACGCUGAAAACAAAUAGAAACGGUAGCAUCAGAUGGCAAUAAUCUCAUACGUGGAAUGAAGACAACACUACCAAUAUUUCGACCAGAAACAACUCGCGCCCCAAAAACACCAAAACCAAGAUGGGUUACAAUAAGACGGGUGCCAUUACAAAGCCCAGACGAAACAUCGAUGUUUCUCAAUAACAUAACAGGUACUCCAAUUUUGAGAAUAAGUCUAUGAUUAGGUAAACCAGAGCAUUUAAUUUCAUUAAGAAAUUCUGUUGUAAUCCAGCGAUGAUCAACAAUAGCAUCCUUAUCA
RNAcentral lists this long non-coding RNA (443 nucleotides) under Trifolium pratense (red clover). RNAcentral describes it as "long non-coding RNA (TPRA_LNC000076)". The record is from RNAcentral. Lineage: Eukaryota; Viridiplantae; Streptophyta; Magnoliopsida; Fabales; Fabaceae.